AGUGAACGCUGGCGGCAGGCCUAACACAUGCAAGUCGAGCGGCAGCGCGGGGGCAACCCUGGCGGCGAGCGGCGGACGGGUGAGGAAUUCGUCGGAAUCUGCCUUUUUGUGGGGGAUAACGUAGGGAAACUUACGCUAAUACCGCAUACGUCCUACGGGAGAAAGUGGGGGACCGCAAGGCCUCACGCAGAAAGAUGAGCCGACGACCGAUUAGCUAGUUGGUGGGGUAAAGGCCCACCAAGGCGACGAUCGGUAGCUGGUCUGAGAGGAUGAUCAGCCACACUGGGACUGAGACACGGCCCAGACUCCUACGGUAGGCAGCAGUGGGGAAUAUUGGACAAUGGGCGCAAGCCUGAUCCAGCCAUGCCGCGUGUGUGAAGAAGGCCUUCGGGUUGUAAACUCCUUUCGACCGCGAGGAAGCCGCCUGGUUGGAAGAGUGGUGACGGUAGUGGUAGAAGAAGCACCGGCUAACUACGUG
RNAcentral lists this ribosomal RNA (478 nucleotides) under uncultured bacterium. RNAcentral's name for it is "partial 16S ribosomal RNA". It matches the Rfam family "Bacterial small subunit ribosomal RNA", at positions 30 to 507 of the family's 1533-position model. The record is from RNAcentral.